CCUACGGGGGGCAGCAGUGAGGAAUAUUGGUCAAUGGCCGAGAGGCUGAACCAGCCAAGUCGCGUGAGGGAAGAAUGUCCUAAGGAUUGUAAACCUCUUUUGUCGGGGAGCAAAAAGGCUCUGCGGAGUCGUAUUGAGAGUACCCGAAGAAGAAGCCCCGGCUAACUACGUGCCAGCAGCCGCGGUAAUACGUAGGGGGCAAGCGUUAUCCGGAUUUACUGGGUGUAAAGGGAGCGUAGACGGCUGUGCAAGUCUGAAGUGAAAGCCCGUGGCUCAACCGCGGAACUGCUUUGGAAACUGUAUAG
RNAcentral lists this ribosomal RNA (305 nucleotides) under uncultured bacterium. Its description in RNAcentral is "bacterial SSU rRNA". It matches the Rfam family "Bacterial small subunit ribosomal RNA", at positions 338 to 640 of the family's 1533-position model. The record is from RNAcentral.